GAAGUGGGACAGACGGACGAGACGGACGGACGGACGACCGAACAAACGAACGCACGGAUGCACAGACUAGAAAACAUAAUGCCCAUAAUUGGGGCAUAAAAAUUUAUUAUUAAAAGGGAAAAUAGUGAUUUGGCAAAAAUGAAAGUAAGGUAAAGAUUAGAGGGAGACAGGACCUUUUUCGGGGCGUCGGGAUCGGGUGUUUUUAAGCUCGGGAUUUGGGGAUUGAUCCUUACGGGAUCCGGGAAUAUAUUUUUCGAUUUCGGGAUAUGAAUUUCUUUAAAUUCUGCAUCUCAGUUUCAUGGUUUUAAGCCCGGGAUUUCGGGAUCAGGACCCCACCGAUCGACAACCCCUCAAAUUAGCCUUAGUCGGUAUUAGUCAUUUAUACAUGAUUCAAAUCCUAC
Molecule: long non-coding RNA, 401 nt
Filed under: Mytilus galloprovincialis (Mediterranean mussel)
Lineage: Eukaryota; Metazoa; Mollusca; Bivalvia; Mytilida; Mytilidae
Source: RNAcentral